AUACGGAAGGUCCGGGCGUUAUCCGGCUUUAUUGGGUUUAAAGGGAGCGCAGGCGGAGAUGCAAGCGUGACGUCAAAUUUCGGGGCUCAACCCCGUCUCGCGUCGCGAACUGCGUCCCUUGGUUGCGGGAAGGGGAGGCGGAACUCGUGAUGUAGCGGAGAAAUGCAUAGAUAUCACGAAGAACUCCGAUCGCGAAGGCAGCCUUCCGGCCCGUCAACGACGCUCAUGCUCGAAGGUGCGGGUAUCAAACAGGAUUAGAUACCCUGGUAGUCCGCACAGUAAACGAUGGACACCCGCGGUUUGGCCUGUAUGGCUGAGCCGCCAAGCGAAAGCGUUAAGUGUCCCACCUGGGGAGUACGCCGGCAACGGUGAAACUCAAAGGAAUUGACGGGG
This 393-nucleotide ribosomal RNA is filed under the name uncultured bacterium. RNAcentral describes it as "partial 16S ribosomal RNA". It matches the Rfam family "Bacterial small subunit ribosomal RNA", at positions 523 to 918 of the family's 1533-position model. The record is from RNAcentral.